GCAAACUUGGUCAUUUAGAGGAAGUAAAAGUCGUAACAAGGUUUCCGUAGGUGAACCUGCGGAAGGAUCAUUAACAAAUCUUGUUUGAUCUAAGUACAAUAAUUUUGUACUUUAGAUCACAUUGACUCGGGCUCGAUUACUUUUUUUUUUUUGCACACUUUAUUUGUGUGUGAGUUGGAAAAAGUUAAUCGAGUCUUGAGACAUUCACCGCUUGUUGUGUAUGGACUGUUAUAUAUUUGUGCCUAAAUAAAGACAACUUUUAACAAUGGAUCUCUUGGCUCUUGCAUCGAUGAAGAACGCAGC
RNAcentral lists this unclassified non-coding RNA (303 nucleotides) under uncultured fungus. RNAcentral describes it as "partial contains small subunit ribosomal RNA, internal transcribed spacer 1, and 5.8S ribosomal RNA". The stretch from base 1 to 73 matches the Rfam family "Eukaryotic small subunit ribosomal RNA", at positions 1759 to 1831 of the family's 1831-position model. Lineage: Eukaryota; Fungi. The record is from RNAcentral.